CGGACGGGUGAGUAACGCGUGAGAAUCUACCUUCAGGAUGGGGACAACCGUUGGAAACGACGGCUAAUCCCCGAUAUGCCGAAAGGUGAAAGGGUUUCCGCCUGGAGAGGAGCUCGCGUCCGAUUAGUUAGUUGGUGAGGUAAGAGCUUACCAAGGCAGCGAUCGGUAGCUGGUCUGAGAGGAUGAGCAGCCACACUGGGACUGAGACACGGCCCAGACUCCUACGGGGAGGCAGCAGUGGGGAAUUUUCCGCAAUGGGCGAAAGCCUGACGGAGCAACGCCGCGUGUGGGAAGAAGGCUCUUGGCUGUCAACCACUUUUCUCACGGGAAGAAGAUCUGACGGUACCUGAGGAAUCAGCCUCGGCUAACUCCGUGCCAGCAGCCGCGGUAAUACGGAGGAGGCAAGCGUUAUCCGGAAUUAUUGGGCGUAAAGCGUCCGCAGGGGGCGCAUCAAGUCUGCUGUUAAAGGUCGGAGCUUAACUCCGGUAGAGCAGUGGAAACUGGUGCGCUAGAGGGCGACAGGGGUAGAGGGAAUUCCCAGUGUAGCGGUGAAAUGCGUAGAGAUUGGGAAGAACACCGGUGGCGAAAGCGCUCUACUGGGUCGCGCCUGACCCUCAGGGACGAAAGCUAAGGUAGCGAAAGGGAUUAGAUACCCCUGUAGUCUUAGCCGUAAACGAUGGAUACUAGGCGUGGUUUGUAUCGACCCAAGCCGUGCCGAAGCUAACGCGUUAAGUAUCCCGCCUGGGGAGUACGCACGCAAGUGUGAAACUCAAAGGAAUUGACGGGGGCCCGCACAAGCGGUGGAGGAUGUGGUUUAAUUCGAUGCAACGCGAAGAACCUUACCAGGGCUUGACAUCCCGCGAAUCUCCAUGAAAGUGGAGAGUGCCUUCGGGAACGCGGAGACAGGUGGUGCAUGGCUGUCGUCAGCUCGUGUCGUGAGAUGUUGGGUUAAGUCCCGCAACGAGCGCAACCCUCGUCCUUAGUUGCCAGCAUUAAGUUGGGCACUCUAGGGAGACUGCCGGUGACAAACCCGGAGGAAGGUGAGGAUGACGUCAAGUCAGCAUGCCCGUUAUGCUCUGGGCAACACACGUCCUACAAUGGUCGAGACAAA
This 1111-nucleotide ribosomal RNA is filed under the name Euhalothece sp. QUCCCM77. Its description in RNAcentral is "bacterial SSU rRNA". It matches the Rfam family "Bacterial small subunit ribosomal RNA", at positions 99 to 1243 of the family's 1533-position model. The record is from RNAcentral. Lineage: Bacteria; Bacillati; Cyanobacteriota; Cyanophyceae; Chroococcales; Halothecacae.